RNAcentral lists this long non-coding RNA (1506 nucleotides) under Homo sapiens (human). RNAcentral's name for it is "HSALNT0156744". Lineage: Eukaryota; Metazoa; Chordata; Mammalia; Primates; Hominidae. The record is from RNAcentral.
GUUUUAUUUUCUUUUUCUUUUUUGUUUGUUUGUUUUGUUUGAGACAGGGUCUCUCUCUGCCACCCAGGCUGGAGUGCAGUGGUGCCAUCUCAGCUCACGGCAGCCUCAACCUCCCCAGCUCAGGUGAUCCUCCUUCCUCAGCCUCUUGGGUACCUGGGACUGUAUGCACAUGCCACCACGUCUAGCUAUUUUUUUUUUUGUACUUUUUGAUACAGUCAGGGUUCAUCAUGUUGCCCACGCUGAUCUUAAACUCAACUCCUGGGCUCAAGCAGUCCACCUGCCUUGGCCUCCCAAAGUGCUGGGAUUACAGGUGUGAGACACUGCGCCCUGCCCAGUUUUCUGUUAGAUGAAUUAGGUAUAAGGAAAAUAAAAACAAACAAAAAACAGGAAUAAGGAAAAUAGCAGGUGUCUCACUCAUUUUGUAUGUUUCAAAUAAUUCUACCGUAAAACAUUAAAAAAAAUUCUUUUCGCUUAUUCUAGGCAGUGAUGACUUCUUAGGGAAUUCAGUCCCUCAACCUUUGCUCAGAUCCUACUUCACUUGGUGUACUUUGCAGGGGGACCUUUUAUGGGUCAGCAGGACACGAGGCUGGGAGAAGUGAUGGUGGACGAGGACGGCUGGGAGCAGGGACCCACCUUCCUGAUGUCAUGACUGUGCAAGCUGGGGCUGUUGGUGAGUGGGCUCGGGACAAGCAGAGAGGCACCCGGGUGCUCCCUAAACCUGGAGAUGAAGAACACAGAGGCCAAGGAGAGCACAGAAGUUUCCAGAUGCUGCAGGCAGCUUUUCUUGGGCUGGCAGCUGGCAUCUCACAGUCACUGACCUGCCUGGUUCCAGCCCCUGGCUCCCAGCUUUGCCCACGGGAGGAUUCACAGGCCGCUGGGCGCUGGGUGCCACCUGUGUCCACGGCUGCCCGCAUGAGCUCCAGGCGGAGCAGGGGGCCUAGAGCUGGCAUCCUCUGCGGUUAGUGAAGGGGCAGGGACUGCCCGCCUCCUCCUCGGAUGUCCAGGGCUGGACCCGAAGUGGCCUCAUUACUGGAGAUUAUGAAAAAAUGCUGCCACUUGCCACCAGUGUGCAGGAGGGAACGGACCACUGAUGUUCUCAGAGGCCCCAAGUGCUCACCCAGCCCCUCUUGGGCAGCAAGCCUUCAGCCCUCUUUGGGGGGCUCCGCUCACCCCUGGAGAGAGGCUCAAAGGCUAAGAUGCCUCCCGGCCUCAUGGUGGUGGAGUGGCCACAGGGGACUCCGGGAACACCAUCCACAUCGCAAGUCAAUCCCGAAUAAGUCAUGCGACUCCCCCAUGGUGCCUCCUGCAGGCCAGCUCUUCCAGUGUGGGGCUCCAGGGGCUACAGCUUCCCCUGCCACUGCUGGAACUGUGGCCCUCCCAUCCCAGCAGCCAGACCGGCUUUUCUCUCCCUUCUCCUCCCUGCAGGUGCUGUGCAGCCCCCCUCGCCUGGGGGCCAGGGUGUGGGGGACAUGAGAGGCCACCCAGAAUGCAUCCAUUUAAUAGAAG